Rosa chinensis is the source of this 732-nucleotide long non-coding RNA. RefSeq lists it as uncharacterized. Lineage: Eukaryota; Viridiplantae; Streptophyta; Magnoliopsida; Rosales; Rosaceae. The record is from RefSeq and is a predicted model, not a curated record. The transcript is spliced from 4 exons.
GUGCCGGAGGGUUACGUGUCAUGCCUGCCAUUCAGUCUGAGUUAAAAAGCCACCUCUACAGCUCUAGAUAUUUUCUCUCUCGCUCUCUACCGGUCUACCCCGACAGCUGUACGGCUUCUGUGAGAGUUCAAGAACGAUCCAGAGAACCAUGAAGAGAAUUAGUGAGAGAGUGAGAGAGAGGUGAAAUUCAGGAAAGAUAAAGAAUUCAUCUCAUCUUCUCAGCACGACUUUAGUUGCUCUUCAUCCCGAGACUGAUUGGAGAGGCACACAGGGAAAGAAGUGGGAGAGGGAUCUGGGUUUUAACUCCAGCCCCAAAUUUCUAAUCAGAGAGGCACACAGACUGACGCGGUACUAUUUGUGCUCGAGUUUGGGAUUUGAGUGAUCGAUUCGAAAAGGUUCAAGUUUCGAUUCUGGACGGUUGAUUGAAAAAAUUACAAGGUUGCUGAUAACUUGCUUCAUGAAGCCACUAGGAAUCUAGAAAGUUUGAUAUUUUUCUCCCAGACCCUUAGAACCAAGGUAAUUCUCUUUCCCUAUUAAUGAUCACUUCUUUCUUAUGUUUCUAGAGAGCUGUUUAAGAUUCAAUGUUCAAGCUUUGAGAACCUGUUUUUAUUUAUUUAUUUAUUUUUAAUGAUGAUUGCUAUGGUUUAGAUUGUAGUUUAUUUUUUAGUUAUCUCAUAAUUUUCUUAAUAUGUGUGUUCCAAUUUUUAGUUUCAAAUGAUGCGUUCUAUAGUG